Molecule: ribosomal RNA, 253 nt
Filed under: uncultured bacterium
Lineage: Bacteria
Description: partial 16S ribosomal RNA
Rfam family: Bacterial small subunit ribosomal RNA
Source: RNAcentral
UACGUAGGGGGCAAGCGUUGUUCGGAAUAACUGGGCGUAAAGGAUGCGUAGGCGGUUAAACAAGUUAUAUGUUAAAUAUAUAGGCUUAACCUGUAGAAAGCAUAUAAAACUGUUUAACUAGAGUGCAGGAGAGGUAAGUGGAAUUCCUAGUGUAGCGGUGAAAUGCGUAGAGAUUAGGAAGAACACCAGUGGCGAAGGCGACUUACUGGACUGUAACUGACACUGAGGCAUGAGAGCAUGGGGAGCAAACAGG